UCUUCGGAGGCACCUGCACAGGUGCUGCAUGGCUGUCGUCAGCUCGUGUCGUGAGAUGUUGGGUUAAGUCCCGCAACGAGCGCAACCCUCGUCCUAUGUUGCCAGCGGGUCAUGCCGGGGACUCAUGGGAGACUGCCGGGGUCAACUCGGAGGAAGUGGGGGUGACGUCAAAUCAUCAUGCCCCUUAUGUCUUGGGCUUCACGCAUGCUACAAUGGCCGGUACAAAGGGCUGCGAUACCGCGAGGUGGAGCGAAUCCCAGAAAGCCGGUCUCAGUUCGGAUUGGGGUCUGCAACUCGACCCCAUGAAGUCGGAGUCGCUAGUAAUCGCAGAUCAGCAACGCUCGCGGUCCGAAUACGUUCCGGGCCUU
This 368-nucleotide ribosomal RNA is filed under the name uncultured Cellulomonas sp. RNAcentral describes it as "bacterial SSU rRNA". It matches the Rfam family "Bacterial small subunit ribosomal RNA", at positions 1017 to 1382 of the family's 1533-position model. Lineage: Bacteria; Bacillati; Actinomycetota; Actinomycetes; Micrococcales; Cellulomonadaceae. The record is from RNAcentral.